Molecule: ribosomal RNA, 460 nt
Filed under: uncultured bacterium
Lineage: Bacteria
Description: partial 16S ribosomal RNA
Rfam family: Bacterial small subunit ribosomal RNA
Source: RNAcentral
CCUACGGGAGGCAGCAGUGAGGAAUAUUGGUCAAUGGACGCAAGUCUGAACCAGCCAUGCCGCGUGCAGGAAGACGGCUCUAUGAGUUGUAAACUGCUUUUGUACGAGGGUAAACGCAGAUACGCGUAUCUGUCUGAAAGUAUCGUACGAAUAAGGAUCGGCUAACUCCGUGCAAGCAGCCGCGGUAAUACGGAGGAUUCAAGCGUUAUCCGGAUUUAUUGGGUGUAAGGGGUGCGUAGGCGGUCGGAUAAGUUAGAGGUGAAAUCCCGAGGCUCAACUUCGGAAUUGCCUCUGAUACUGUUCGGCUAGAGAGUAGUUGCGGUAGGCGGAAUGUAUGGUGUAGCGGUGAAAUGCUUAGAGAUCAUACAGAACACCGAUUGCGAAGGCAGCUUACCAAGCUACUUCUGACGUUGAGGCACGAAAGCGUGGGGAGCAAACAGGAUUAGAUACCCCGGUAGUC